RNAcentral lists this ribosomal RNA (459 nucleotides) under uncultured Sphingobacteriales bacterium. RNAcentral's name for it is "bacterial SSU rRNA". It matches the Rfam family "Bacterial small subunit ribosomal RNA", at positions 920 to 1382 of the family's 1533-position model. The record is from RNAcentral. Lineage: Bacteria; Pseudomonadati; Bacteroidota; Sphingobacteriia; Sphingobacteriales.
CCCGCACAAGCGGUGGAGCAUGUGGUUUAAUUCGAUGAUACGCGAGGAACCUUACCUGGGCUCAAAUGUAUGUUGACGUAUUCUGAAAGGGAUACUUCUUCGGACAAUAUACAAGGUGCUGCAUGGUUGUCGUCAGCUCGUGCCGUGAGGUGUCGGGUUAAGUCCCAUAACGAGCGCAACCCCUAUCAUUAGUUGCCAUCAGGUCAAGCUGGGGACUCUAAUGAAACUGCCUACGCAAGUAGUGAGGAAGGUGGGGAUGACGUCAAAUCAGCACGGCCCUUACGUCCAGGGCUACACACGUGCUACAAUGGCCGGUACAAAGGGCAGCUACCUGGUGACAGGAUGCUAAUCUCAAAAGCCGGUCUCAGUUCGGAUUGCAGGCUGAAACUCGCCUACAUGAAGUUGGAGUUGCUAGUAAUCGCGAAUCAGAAUGUCGCGGUGAAUGCGUUCCCGGGUCUU